UCUCUCCCUUUUGCUUCCAAAUCAUACACAUUCAUUUAACAAGAAAUAAGCUUGACAUUUUUCUCCCCCUUAGUUUUAUAAUCAAAGUAUAUAUUCAAAUAAUCAACUAAAUAUAAGUAAUAACAUAAGACACAUUGCAUUUCAAAAAAGAUCAAAUUUUCAUUCAUUGCCAAAAUGAGAUUAUAAAAGUGAUCAAUACAUUAGUUCAUUCAAAAUGCAUGAGGGCUACAUGUACUAAAAAGAUGGAUUGCUAUGAAUACUAAAGCUUUAUAAAAGGAAUCCUAGCAUCCUAGGAUAGUAGGUCAAUAAAUUAGAAUAAAUAAAUUAAG
This 329-nucleotide long non-coding RNA is filed under the name Elaeis guineensis (African oil palm). RNAcentral describes it as "long non-coding RNA (EGUI_LNC072301)". Lineage: Eukaryota; Viridiplantae; Streptophyta; Magnoliopsida; Arecales; Arecaceae. The record is from RNAcentral.